GGAAUAAAGCCGCACUAAAGCACACAGCAACUGGAUCAAUAAUAGAGGCAGAAAACCACACCAUCACAUCACCCUUGGAUAUGGAUAUCAAAACAGAUAAAGAACAUAAGCCUGAUGCAACUGGGAUUCAGGAGGAAAGGAUGAGAUUAGAUAAACCGAAGCCUUGUCCCACCAAGACUCAGAGUCCUCCAGUUUCCUUCAUAGCUUCAUCCAACCACAACCCUCUGCAUGAUCCUACUCCGUUCUUCUCUCUCGUCUCAACAUCCAGUCAUGUUCCACCCACAUCUCACAACACAACAGCCAGUCACACACACACUAUUCACCACAAACAAGCCUACCGUCGUUCCAUGAAGAGUCCCUCGUCCUCUGGAUUACGGAGCUCCUCUUACUGUUCUGCAUGCAGUAUGAGAUC
This is a long non-coding RNA of Tachysurus vachellii, 412 nucleotides long. RefSeq lists it as uncharacterized. The record is from RefSeq and is a predicted model, not a curated record. The transcript is spliced from 3 exons. Lineage: Eukaryota; Metazoa; Chordata; Actinopteri; Siluriformes; Bagridae.